Molecule: ribosomal RNA, 468 nt
Filed under: uncultured bacterium
Lineage: Bacteria
Description: partial 16S ribosomal RNA
Rfam family: Bacterial small subunit ribosomal RNA
Source: RNAcentral
GACGAACGCUGGCGGCGUGCUUAACACAUGCAAGUCGAACGGAAAGGCCCUGCUUUUGUGGGGUGCUCGAGUGGCGAACGGGAGAGUAACACGUGAGUAACCUGCCCUUGACUUCGGGAUAACUUCAGGAAACUGUGGCUAAUACCGUAUAGGCGUUCCUGCUGCAUGGUGGGGUGUGGAAAGUUAUGGCGGUUGGGGAUGGACUCGCGGCUUAUCAGCUUGUUGGUGGGGUAGUGGCUUACCAAGGCUUUGACGGGUAGCCGGCCUGAGAGGGUGACCGGCCACACUGGGACUGAGACACGGCCCAGACUCCUACGGGAGGCAGCAGUGGGGAAUAUUGCACAAUGGGCGGAAGCCUGAUGCAGCAACGCCGCGUGAGGGAUGACGGCCUUCGGGUUGUAAACCGCUUUCAGCUGUGACGAAGCGUGAGUGACGGUAAUGUGUAAAGAAGCACCGGCUAACUACGUG